GACGAACGCUGGCGGCGUGCUUAACACAUGCAAGUCGAACGGAAAGACCCUGCUUUUGUGGGUUGCUCGAGUGGCGAACGCGUGAGUAACACGUGAGUAUCCUGCCCUUAACUUUGGGAUAUCUUCAGGAAACUGGGGCGCAUACCGGGUAGGAUCUCCUGCUGCGUGGUGUGCGUUGGAGAGUGUCGGCGGUUGUGGAUGGACUCGCGGCUUAUGAGCUUGUUUGUCUAGUAGUGGCUUACCAAGGCUUUGACGGGUAGCCGGCCUGAGAGGUGGACCGGCCACAUUGGGACUGAGAGACGGCGCAGACGCCUACGGGAGGCAGCAGUGGGGAAUCUUGCACAACGGGCGGAAGCCUGAGGCAGCAACGCCGCGUUCGUGAUGACCUCUUUCGGGGUGUAAACCGCUUUCGCCGGUGACGAAGCGUGAGUGACGGUAACGGGUAAAGAAGCACCGGCUAACUACGUG
This 468-nucleotide ribosomal RNA is filed under the name uncultured bacterium. RNAcentral describes it as "partial 16S ribosomal RNA". It matches the Rfam family "Bacterial small subunit ribosomal RNA", at positions 28 to 507 of the family's 1533-position model. The record is from RNAcentral.